Molecule: ribosomal RNA, 686 nt
Filed under: uncultured bacterium
Lineage: Bacteria
Description: bacterial SSU rRNA
Rfam family: Bacterial small subunit ribosomal RNA
Source: RNAcentral
AGAGUUUGAUCCUGGCUCAGGACGAACGCUGGCGGCAUGCCUAACACAUGCAAGUCGAACGAGAAAGUUCCUUCGGGAGCAAUUAAAGUGGCGCACGGGUGAGUAACGCGUAGACAAUCUGCCCUUCAGUCUGGGACAACUUUUCGAAAGGAGAGCUAAUACCGGAUGACAAUGUAACACAUAAGUGUCACAUUUGAAAGCUUUAUGUGCUGAAGGAGGGGUCUGCGUCCCAUUAGCUAGUUGGUAAGGUAAAGGCUUACCAAGGCGACGAUGGGUAGCGGGUUUGAGAGGACGAUCCGCCACACUGGAACUGAGACACGGUCCAGACUCCUACGGGAGGCAGCAGUGGGGAAUAUUGCACAAUGGAGGCAACUCUGAUGCAGCAAUGUCGCGUGAGUGAAGAAGGCCCUUGGGUCGUAAAGCUCUUUUAUGGGGGAAGAUGAUGACGGUACCCCAAGAAUAAGCACCGGCUAACUAUGUGCCAGCAGCCGCGGUAAUACAUAGGGUGCGAGCGUUGUUCGGAAUUACUGGGCGUAAAGGGCGCGCAGGCGGAAUAGUAAGUCGGAGGUGAAAGCCCGGGGCUCAACCCCGGAGGGUCUUUCGAAACUGCUAAUCUAGAGAGGGUCAGGGGCCGGCAGAAUUCCUGGUGUAGAGGUGAAAUUCGUAGAUAUCAGGAGGAAUACCGG